This 643-nucleotide small RNA is filed under the name Pan troglodytes (chimpanzee). Its description in RNAcentral is "retained intron". The record is from RNAcentral. Lineage: Eukaryota; Metazoa; Chordata; Mammalia; Primates; Hominidae.
CCGGAACCAAUCCUCUACAGAUACCAAGGGACAACUUUAUGUUUAAGUGUUACUUUUAGUAUUUUAUUGGAGGUAGCCAAUACAGUAUAUUAGUGUAUACUAAUUAGUGUAUACACCUCAGCCUCACAGAGUGCUGAGAUUACAGGCGUGAGCCACCACACCUGGCCGAAAACACAUGUUUUUAAAAACAUUUUUAAAAGUUAGCCUUUCUGAAAAUAAACAUUCUAAAAAUCUAUUUUUAGCUUUAUCACAUCCACCUAUAAUGUGAACUCAAACAGCUACAUGAUUAGUAGUUUUAAUUGCAUUCAUUAAAAGGGUUUUAAUAUUCAAAGAUGUGCAAACAUCUUCUUGCGUCUGCCAUAGUCUUAAAUAUCACAGAAAUGAGUGUAAAUUAUGUCAAAUAGCAUCCUUAAUAAACAUGCCUCUGGAAAUUAAUGCAGACCUUUUUGUUUAUAUUUCUAUAGCUACAAUCAACCUAAAUUCAGCCAAUGAUAGCUGGUUUGGCAGCUUAAAGGACACUAUUCAGCAUCAGCAAGGAGAAGCGGUUUGGGUCUCUGAAGGAAAGAUGGAAGGGAUGGAUGAUGACCCCGAAGACCGCAUGUCCUACUUAACCGCCAUGGGCGCGGACUAUCUGAGUUGCGAC